GGACAUGCCACCCCCGUUUUAGGAGAACUUGUAUUUGGUUUGUAAAGGAAUUGGAAUCACGGCGUUAUCCUACCUUCACCAUUUACCCCUGAUAAAUUGUCCACGUUUGUAUUCGGGAAUCAUAUCGACAGGUCAUGAAAAUGAGACCAAAAGAUCUCUGGAAGCGAUUAAUGAUAAAAUUUCGUGGAGAAGAAGGCCUUGACUAUGGAGGCGUUGCCAGGGUCUCCCUCUGUCACCCAGGCUGGAGUGUAGUGGCGUGAUCUCAGCUCACUGCAACCUCCCCAUCCUGGGCUCAAGAGAGCCUCCCACCUCAGCCUCCUGAGUAGCUGGGACUACAGG
Molecule: small RNA, 339 nt
Filed under: Pan troglodytes (chimpanzee)
Lineage: Eukaryota; Metazoa; Chordata; Mammalia; Primates; Hominidae
Description: processed transcript
Source: RNAcentral